Chlorocebus sabaeus (green monkey) is the source of this 107-nucleotide small nuclear RNA. Lineage: Eukaryota; Metazoa; Chordata; Mammalia; Primates; Cercopithecidae. The record is from Ensembl.
GUGUUCACUUCAGUAUCACAUAUACUAAAAUUGGAACGAUACAGAGAAGAUUAGCAUGGCUCCUAUGCAAAGAUGACACUUAAAUUCAUGAAGCAUUCCAUACUUUU